This 60-nucleotide microRNA precursor is filed under the name Xenopus laevis (African clawed frog). RNAcentral describes it as "Xla-Mir-103-P2c_pre stem-loop". It matches the Rfam family "mir-103/107 microRNA precursor family", at positions 11 to 70 of the family's 78-position model. From Rfam's summary of the family: This family consists of the mammalian microRNA (miRNA) precursors mir-103 and mir107. Lineage: Eukaryota; Metazoa; Chordata; Amphibia; Anura; Pipidae. The record is from RNAcentral.
AGCUUCUUUACGGUGCUGCCUUGUAUCAUGUAUGUCAAGCAGCAUUGUACAGGGCUAUGA